This is a long non-coding RNA of Cyprinus carpio carpio, 1104 nucleotides long. Lineage: Eukaryota; Metazoa; Chordata; Actinopteri; Cypriniformes; Cyprinidae. The record is from Ensembl.
GGUGCCCGAUGCUGUUCCGGAGGUCGAGGCGGUGCCCGAUGCCGAGGCAGUGCCCGAUGCUGUUCCGGAGGCCGAGGCUGUGCCCGAUGCUGUUCCGGAGGUCGAGGCGGUGCCCGAUGCUGUUCCGGAGGUCGAGGCGGUGCCCGAUGCUGUUCCCGAUGCCGAGGCGGUGCCCGAUGCCGAUGUGGUGCCCGAUGCGUUCCGGAGGCCGAGGCGGUACCCGAUGCUGUGCCCGAUGCCGAAGCGGUGCCCGAGGCUGUGCCCGAUGCCGUUCUGGAGGCCGAGGCGGUGCCCGAUCCCGAGGUCGUUCCCGAGCCCGAGGUCGUUCCCGAGGCGUUGCCCGAUGCCGUGACCGAGGCCGAUCCAGAGGCGUUGCCCGAAGCCGAGGCGCCUCACGUCUCCACAGGCCGUCCAGAACACCUUCACGUCUUCGCAGGGCCUCCAGAAGGGCAGGUUCCACUCUGGUCGCUCAAGGGGCGGGUUCCUCCCUGGCCAUCGCCACAGCCUGCUCCUCACUGGCUCCCCGAAUGGCAGGUUCCGUUCUGGCCACUCAAAUGGCGAGUUCCUCCCUGGCCGUCUGCACAACUAGAAUGGACUGAUCCUCCGUGGCCACCUGAACUGCCUGGUCCCUCGUGGUCCCCUGAACUUUCGGGUCCACCCUGGCCCCCUGAACUGACUGAUCCACCUUGGCUGCCGGUGGAGCCAUCGCUGCCGGUCCCUGUUUUCCUACACGGUCCUGGCCCUCCAUCCCUCCCCCUGUUCUACCUCCACCAGUCCACCUCCCUCCUGGUCUCUUUGUUUUGUGUUUGUUUUGUUCUGAGGAGCAUCUGGAAGCUGGUCCUUAGAGGGGGGCAAGUGUCACAGUGUCUGGUUUGUGUAUCCCGGGGUGUCCGCUAGAGGUCUCACUUCCCCAUAUCAUCACCCCACCUCAGGAACUACAUUUCCCACAGUCGUGUUGAUACUCAUCACUGUUCAUUGCACUCAGCUGUCCCUGGUCAUCAAUCAUUGCACUCAGCCAAUUCCCCGUUAGUAUUGUCAUUUCCCUGUGUAUAAAUACCCCGGUUGUUCUGUCAUUGUUACGGAGUCCUUGUUGAAUGUCACCCU